Molecule: long non-coding RNA, 758 nt
Filed under: Sinocyclocheilus grahami
Lineage: Eukaryota; Metazoa; Chordata; Actinopteri; Cypriniformes; Cyprinidae
Description: lncRNA (ENSSGRG00000008312.1)
Source: RNAcentral
GCUGCAUCUCUCUGUCGCGCUAUUUUUAGAUCUCGCGUCUGGCUGCUGUGCUAGUGAGCUCGCGCGCUGAAGAUCCGCGGUGCGUUUUUAUGAAUGAGUGUGUGAUCGUCGUCCUUUCUAUCGCAGCAUCCCACAAACGAGCAGGAACAGAGAGACACUCCUUCAGGACUCACAUGAUGCUGUACACUCUUUAUCAUCGGCUGGCUUCAUGAUGAGCUCACCGCUGGAUGCAGAUCCAGAGGUGUUGUCGGCGGUGGGCAGUAUGUCGGAGGUUGGUAUGUUGGACUGGGACUGUGAUUCAGACGAUUGGGAGAAGCAGUUACAGCGCGAGCUGCUUCUGAUCCAGAGACAGCAGCAGAUCCAGAAACAGCUGCUCAUCUCCGACUUCCAGAAACAGCAUCAGAACCUGCUGAGACAACAUCAGGCCCAGCUCGAGGAGCACAUCAAGCUCCAGCAGGCUCUGUUAACUCUGCGGCAGCAGCAGGAGGUGUUUGUUGAGGAGGAGAGAGAGGAGGUGAGGGAGGAUGACAAGGAGCUUCACAGGAGGGAGACACAGAAACACCAGCAUCACAGACGGAAGGAGCCAUCUAAAGAGAGUGAGAAAACAACUGCCUCUGCCAGUCAUUUCAACUUUCAUUUAAGCGAUAAUUCCUGUAGUAUUUGUCUUUAUGACACACCUCUGACAUGUAUACGUUUAGAAAAAUAAUGACAGUGCUUCUGUUUUUGCUUGUCUUUUUUUAUGUCCAGUUACAUUUCAC